Molecule: ribosomal RNA, 472 nt
Filed under: uncultured bacterium
Lineage: Bacteria
Description: bacterial SSU rRNA
Rfam family: Bacterial small subunit ribosomal RNA
Source: RNAcentral
UCGGGAAUUUUGGGCAAUGGGCGAAAGCCUGACCCAGCAACGCCGCGUGCAGGAAGAAGGCCUUCGGGUUGUAAACUGCUUUUGUACGGAACGAAAAGGCUCUUUCUAAUAAAGAGGGCCCAUGACGGUACCGUAAGAAUAAGCACCGGCUAACUACGUGCCAGCAGCCGCGGUAAUACGUAGGGUGCGAGCGUUAAUCGGAAUUACUGGGCGUAAAGCGUGCGCAGGCGGUUCUAUAAGACAGAUGUGAAAUCCCCGGGCUCAACCUGGGAAUGGCAUUUGUGACUGUAGAGCUAGAGUACGGUAGAGGGGGAUGGAAUUCCGCGUGUAGCAGUGAAAUGCGUAGAUAUUAGGAAGAACACCAGUGGCGAAGGCGGCUCACUGGAUCGGUACUGACGCUGAGGUGCGAAAGCGUGGGGAGCAAACAGGAUUAGAUACCCAAGUAGUCCCUGAGCGGGCUGGCAAGGCGCAU